UAAGAGGCUGAAACUCGCCUCUUUGAAGUCGGAAUCGCUAGUAAUCGCAGAUCAGCAUGUUGCGGUGAAUACGUUCCCGGGUCUUGUACACACCGCCCGUCAAACCAUGAGAGUCACCAACACCCGAAGUCCGCCUUGGCGGCCUAAGGUGGGGGAGAUGAUUGGGGUUAAGUCGUAACAAGGUAUC
RNAcentral lists this ribosomal RNA (187 nucleotides) under uncultured bacterium. Its description in RNAcentral is "partial 16S ribosomal RNA". It matches the Rfam family "Bacterial small subunit ribosomal RNA", at positions 1298 to 1500 of the family's 1533-position model. The record is from RNAcentral.